RNA transcript from Anguilla anguilla (European eel), 2006 nucleotides. It is a transcript of the gene named pleiotropic regulator 1-like, with no coding region annotated. Lineage: Eukaryota; Metazoa; Chordata; Actinopteri; Anguilliformes; Anguillidae. The record is from RefSeq and is a predicted model, not a curated record. The transcript is spliced from 14 exons.
AGUAUAACCUAUUUACCAAGGAAAUAUUUCCGCAUGGGCGUGCGUGGUUUGAUGCAGCCACGGAGGGAGGUGGCAGUUUGUUUAUGAAUUGCCUUUCCUUGUGUUAUUAUCGCGUUUUAAUAAAAACAUUUCACAAUGGCAGAGGACGUUCAGAAACACUCCGUGCACACGCUGGUGUUCAGGUCGCUCAAGAGAACGCAUGACAUGUUCGUGGCAGAUCAUGCCAAGCCGAUAGCCAUUGACGAGGAAAGUCAUAAACUGAAGAUGACAGUCAAGCUGCGUGAGGAGUAUGGUGCUGUUCUGCACAUGCCCGUUCUUAAAGAGGGGAAGGAGAAAGCCAAGCAACAGAUGACUGACCCCUACAGCCAGCAGGGGUACCCAGCACACUCAGAUCUGGAUCCAGAGUAUCUCAUCACUGGAACACAUCAUUAUCCAUCAGGCCCUGGGGUAGCUCUGACGGCCGACACACAGAUGCAGAAGAUGCCCAGUGAAGGUGGAGUUCAGUCACUGGCGCUAGCACUGCCUCCAUCACAAGCAAGGCAGGAUGCCACUCGCACUGCAGCCAGUGUAGCGGACAUUCACAGACAUGCUGGGAGUGCGGACAGGUCACAGCCUCCUCUCCAUGCUAUGUCCCUCACGGAGGCAGGAGGGACUAAGAACGUGUCGCUGGUGAGGAAAGCUCCGACCAUGCCCAAGCCACAGUGGCACCCGCCAUGGAAACUGUACCGGGUCAUCAGUGGUCAUUUAGGGUGGGUGAGAUCCAUCGCGGUAGAGCCGGGGAACCAGUGGUUUGUCACCGGGUCAGCCGACAGGACCAUAAAGAUCUGGGACCUGGCGAGCGGGAAGCUCAAGCUCUCUCUCACGGGACACAUCAGCACGGUGCGGGGCGUGGCCGUCAGCUCCCGCAGCCCCUACCUCUUCUCCUGCGGGGAGGACAAGCAGGUCAAGUGCUGGGACCUGGAGUACAACAAGGUGAUCCGCCACUACCACGGCCACCUCAGCGCGGUGUACGACCUGGACCUGCACCCCACCAUCGACGUCCUGGUGACCUGCAGCAGAGACUCCACCACCAGGGUUUGGGACAUCCGGACCAAGGCUAACGUGCACACGCUGUCCGGACACACCAACACGGUGGCCACGGUCAAGUGCCAGGCCGCGGAACCUCAGGUCAUCACAGGCAGCCACGAUACCACCAUCAGAAUGUGGGAUCUCGUCGCCGGGAAGACCAGAGCCACGCUGACCAAUCACAAGAAGUCUGUCAGAGCCCUUGUUCUGCACCCCCGUCAAUACACCUUUGCCUCCGGUUCCCCAGACAACAUUAAGCAGUGGAAGUUCCCGGAUGGAAGCUUCAUCCAGAACCUUUCCGGCCACAACGCUAUCAUCAACACACUGGCAGUCAACUCAGACGGCGUUCUGGUAUCGGGAGGUAAACUAUGGCCUUGGUGGAUAUAAGAGAGGAGUCUUUCUCAAGUGCAGUAAUUAUGCCUAUAAAACAAGGUGCAGCUUUUAAAAUAUCAUCAUUUAAAAUUAAUUCAUUACAGACGUGAGGACUCUGGGAAUGUGUAGUUUAGCUAUUGUACUUUUGUAAGUUCUACUUUGGAUCAAUUUCUGACUAGUUUUCAGAGGGCAAAUCCACAAAAGCACCUACAUAUGCAGUUUGUGAUAUCACCAUUUUGUUUUUGAAAAUAUGUGGAAAAAAAGAGCAAAUGGCCAUUGGUUCUCUUAUCUCUUUGAAGAGUGGGUGUUUUGGAAUUUUCAUUUUUUUUUCAAAAUAUUAAGUCAGUGUUCUAGAACUCCAUUGCUUUCAAUUACCUGUAUUGAUUGUGACACCAGGAAUGGAAUGUUCAGGUAAGAACAUUCUAAUCACAUAUUUGUGAUCUUACACCUUAAAAGGUUAAAAGCAAUGGCAAUGGUAUGCUCACUUAAUAUUUUGCCUGACUUAACUGCUGAUUGGUAAUCUGUGGGAUGAAAUUAGAGGGAAUUGCGCAACUGCUGAUCUGAGAUGU